RNAcentral lists this ribosomal RNA (482 nucleotides) under uncultured bacterium. Its description in RNAcentral is "partial 16S ribosomal RNA". It matches the Rfam family "Bacterial small subunit ribosomal RNA", at positions 30 to 507 of the family's 1533-position model. The record is from RNAcentral.
AUUGAACGCUGGCGGCAUGCUUUACACAUGCAAGUCGAACGGUAACAGGCCGCAAGGUGCUGACGAGUGGCGAACGGGUGAGUAAUGCAUCGGAACGUGCCCAGUCGUGGGGGAUAACUACUCGAAAGAGUAGCUAAUACCGCAUACGAUCUAUGGAUGAAAGCGGGGGACCGUAAGGCCUCGCGCGAUUGGAGCGGCCGAUGUCAGAUUAGGUAGUUGGUGGGGUAAAGGCUCACCAAGCCAACGAUCUGUAGCUGGUCUGAGAGGACGACCAGCCACACUGGGACUGAGACACGGCCCAGACUCCUACGGGAGGCAGCAGUGGGGAAUUUUGGACAAUGGGCGCAAGCCUGAUCCAGCAAUGCCGCGUGCAGGAAGAAGGCCUUCGGGUUGUAAACUGCUUUUGUACGGAACGAAACGGCUCUGGUUAAUACCCGGGGCUAAUGACGGUACCGAAAGAAUAAGCACCGGCUAACUACGUG